Molecule: long non-coding RNA, 402 nt
Organism: Numida meleagris (helmeted guineafowl)
Lineage: Eukaryota; Metazoa; Chordata; Aves; Galliformes; Numididae
Exons: 2
Source: RefSeq, a predicted model, not a curated record
CUCCGGAGCAGAACCAAACUUGCUGCCUCGCCUGGUGUCACCCAAAGGCAGCAGCCAGCCCCGAAGGGACGGAGCUGGGAAAUAUCCCGAUGUCCCACAGCCCGUGCCAGCUGCUGGCAGAGAGCUCGCGGCCGUCUCGCAGCUGAUUCAGCUCCUUAAGAAGAGGAGCUUGCUCUGCUGAUUGGCAGACCCUCUGGAGACCACCAGAAGAAGCAGAUGGUCAAGACAUGAGAUCAGAGCUGGAGAAGGAGAUGUCAAUCUCCGGGCUGCAGUGCCAGGCUCGGGGACGUGGCAGGGAGCAGGCGAGGUACGCGGUCCCGUAAGGACAGCGUGUGAGUAAUGAGGCUGGCUGCAAAGUCUGGGGUUUGCUUUAAAAAAAUAAAAAUAAAAAAAUAAAAAGCA